GAAGAAAUUACAAAUCACCUCAACUUAAACGAAACAAUACAAAAGAGAUAUGAUCAAUCAUAUAAAUUACAUAUGGAGACAAAUGGCUAAAAAAAAUAUACAAGGAGGCAAAUGAAAUUUAUAAGAUUAUAAAUUUUGUAAGAAGAUUAUUUGGAAAGAGACAAGCAUGGAGAAAUAUUAAAAUAAAAUGAAUCACCACUAAUAUUAAUUUAUUAUAUAAUGAAUUAGAAACAUAGUUAAAAACAAACAUGGUGUUAAAAAUUGAAUUUUUCAAUUUGAUAAUUUGCUAUACAUAAUGAAUUUAUUAGCAAUUUAGCAUCUUAUUACACUUCACCAUCACCAUGGUUAUGAUGAAAAUUAAUGAAAAUUGUUUUUUGGUUCUUACCUUGUCGAUGAUUGAUGAAACAAGUGAUUUGUGAAAAACAUAUUGCUAUUGUUGAGUGUUUCUACAUGUAUUUCGAUUGUUGCAGACCGGAUUUGUUAUUGUUGUAAUUUUUCAAAUCUAAAUCAAUUGUUGUAGGAGGAAUUUGUUGUUUGUAAUUUUUGGGAUUUGAAUAUUUUUAAAUAAAAAUUUGAAUUUGUUGUUGUGGUGAUUUCUCAGAUUUAAAAUACAUUGCUGCAUGCGAAAUUUGUUGUUAUUGUGAUUUUUUGGAUUUAAUUUUUUUUUUAAUUGACGAAGAUAAUGAUGAAAUUGAAAAUGAGAUGUUAUCUUG
Molecule: long non-coding RNA, 713 nt
Filed under: Lathyrus oleraceus (garden pea)
Lineage: Eukaryota; Viridiplantae; Streptophyta; Magnoliopsida; Fabales; Fabaceae
Description: Pisum sativum (pea) long non-coding RNA (PSAT_LNC015094)
Source: RNAcentral